RNAcentral lists this ribosomal RNA (491 nucleotides) under uncultured bacterium. RNAcentral describes it as "partial 16S ribosomal RNA". It matches the Rfam family "Bacterial small subunit ribosomal RNA", at positions 29 to 506 of the family's 1533-position model. The record is from RNAcentral.
AGUGAACGCUGGCGGUAGGCCUAACACAUGCAAGUCGAACGGCAGCACAGUAAGAGCUUGCUCUUACGGGUGGCGAGUGGCGGACGGGUGAGGAAUACAUCGGAAUCUACUUUUUCGUGGGGGAUAACGUAGGGAAACUUACGCUAAUACCGCAUACGACCUACGGGUGAAAGCAGGGGAUCUUCGGACCUUGCGCGAUUGAAUGAGCCGAUGUCGGAUUAGCUAGUUGGCGGGGUAAAGGCCCACCAAGGCGACGAUCCGUAGCUGGUCUGAGAGGAUGAUCAGCCACACUGGAAAUGAGACACGGUACAGACUCCUAGGGGAGGCAGCAGUGGGGAAUAUUGGACAAUGGGCGCAAGCCUGAUCCAGCCAUACAGCGUGGGUGAAGAAGGCCUUCGGGUGGAAAAGCCCUUUUGGUGGGAAAGAAAAGCAGCAGGUUAAUACCCCGCUGUUCUGACGGUACCCAAAGAAUAAGCACCGGCUAACUUCGU